RNAcentral lists this ribosomal RNA (440 nucleotides) under uncultured bacterium. RNAcentral's name for it is "partial 16S ribosomal RNA". It matches the Rfam family "Bacterial small subunit ribosomal RNA", at positions 338 to 795 of the family's 1533-position model. The record is from RNAcentral.
CCUACGGGAGGCAGCAGUGGGGAAUAUUGCACAAUGGGGGAAACCCUGAUGCAGCGACGCCGCGUGAGCGAUGAAGUAUUUCGGUAUGUAAAGCUCUAUCAGCAGGGAAGAAAAUGACGGUACCUGACUAAGAAGCCCCGGCUUACUACGUGCCAGCAGCCGUGGGAAUACGUAGGGGGCAAGCGUUAUCCGGAUUUACUGGGUGUAAUGGGAGCGUAGACGGUCCUGCAAGUCAGAUGUGAAAGCCCGGGGCUCAACCCCGGGCCUGCAUUUGGAACUGUAAGGCUAGAGUGUCGGAGAGGCAGGCGGAAUUCCUAGUGUAGCGGUGAAAUGCGUAGAUAUUAGGAGGAACACCAGUGGCGAAGGCGGCCUGCUGGACGAUGACUGACGUUGAGGCUCGAAAGCGUGGGGAGCAAACAGGAUUAGAUACCCCAGUAGUC